RNAcentral lists this ribosomal RNA (648 nucleotides) under uncultured bacterium. RNAcentral describes it as "bacterial SSU rRNA". It matches the Rfam family "Bacterial small subunit ribosomal RNA", at positions 110 to 753 of the family's 1533-position model. The record is from RNAcentral.
GUAAUGCGAAGGUAACCAACCCUGAAGUUGGGCAUAGCCGCGGGAAACUGCGGGUAAUUCCCAGCGACGUUGCGAGAUGGCAUCAUUUUGCAACCAAAGGUGUGAUUCCGCUUUAGGACGGGCCUUCGUGGUAUUAGGUAGUUGGUGAGGUAACGGCUCACCAAGCCUACGAUGCCUACCGGGUGUGAGAGCAUGACCCGGCACACUGGAACUGAGACACUGUCCAGACACCUACGGGUGGCUGCAGUCGAGAAUCUUCGGCAAUGGGCGAAAGCCUGACCGAGCGACGCCGCGUGAGGGAUUGAAGGCCUUCGGGUUGUAAACCUCUUUCGUAGAGGAGGAAGGGGCUGUGAAGAACAGUCCUUGACCUAUUCUAGGAAGAAGCUUGGGCUAAGUUCGUGCCAGCAGCCGCGGUAAGACGAACCAAGCGAACGUUAUUCGGAAUUACUGGGCUUAAAGCGCGUAUAGGCGGACUACCACGUUGGUUGUUGAAAUCCCCCGGCUUAACCGGGGAACUGGCACCAAUACGAGUAGUCUGGAGGUGGGUAGGGGAGACUGGAACUUCCGGUGGAGCGGUGAAAUGCGUUGAGAUCGGAAGGAACGCCCGCGGCGAAAGCGAGUCUCUGGACCCAUACUGACGCUGAGACG